AGUGGAUGCUAUCAAAAAUUUUAGAUUCCAAUUUAAGAUUGAUUGCUAUUUGGAUUUGUUUGAGACUUUUGUUGUACCGUCUUCGCAACGAAAUUUAAUUUCGGUUCCUUGUAUGGACAAGUUAGGAUAUUCUAGUUCAUUUGGGGAUAAUAAAGUUUGGUACACUACCUAGUAUUAUUACUAGCUAUAAGAAGUCCAUGUAUCUGGAUUUUGCAUGAUUGGUGAUGAAUUAGUUAAUUAUGAGUGAUGUAAGCAUAAACAAUUGCUCUCUCAAGGGUCUAUUAUUAAUGGUGAAUUUAUCAG
Molecule: long non-coding RNA, 303 nt
Filed under: Linum usitatissimum (flax)
Lineage: Eukaryota; Viridiplantae; Streptophyta; Magnoliopsida; Malpighiales; Linaceae
Description: long non-coding RNA (LUSI_LNC002755)
Source: RNAcentral